RNAcentral lists this small nuclear RNA (88 nucleotides) under Echinops telfairi (small Madagascar hedgehog). Its description in RNAcentral is "U4 spliceosomal RNA (ENSETEG00000021407.1)". The stretch from base 1 to 77 matches the Rfam family "U4 spliceosomal RNA". From Rfam's summary of the family: U4 small nuclear RNA (U4 snRNA) is a component of the major U2-dependent spliceosome. Lineage: Eukaryota; Metazoa; Chordata; Mammalia; Afrosoricida; Tenrecidae. The record is from RNAcentral.
AGCUUUGCGCAGUGGCAAUAUCGUAGCCGAUGAGGUCUACCCGAGGCGCAAUUAUUGCUAAUUGAAAAAAAAAAAAGCGCAAUUGUAC